Molecule: small RNA, 6193 nt
Filed under: Mytilus galloprovincialis (Mediterranean mussel)
Lineage: Eukaryota; Metazoa; Mollusca; Bivalvia; Mytilida; Mytilidae
Source: RNAcentral
AUGCAAAUCCUAGAAGGGGUCCGAAAUAUUCCCGUACAUGGUAUAUACAUUAAUACAAUUGUACCGCGGCUCGUACGUCCUUGGUAAACUGUGAUUCUCUGUAUACUGAAUUUGACUAAAGAUAGCACCCUCACUUAUAAAAGAUUCUUGAACUUACGUUGUAAUGUGAAUUAGUUUAAAUACAUUCUCUUUUAUAGUGUUGGUGAACUGUGUUAAGCACUGGCAGCAUAAUCAAUAAGUGGUGUUCACAUAUAAUUAAUUAUAUAGAUUAAUUAUCCAUAUUAUUUAACCAAUUAAAGAAAAUAAUACUAUUUAUAGACAUUCAGAAUGAUUAAGUGAUUAAUAUAAAAAUAAAAGGUUUUCUGUUUAAUUAAAACUAUACAGCCUAGUACCUUUCAAAGCCAAUAAAAACAUGUUUGACCUCAAUACUUUUUAAUUAUAAUUAAUAAAUAAUAGUUUCAUUCUGUUGGAUAAAUUUAUGAAUGGAUACAAAAAAAAUCCACAAUACCUGCAAAGGAAGCCACCAUAAAACCCAAAUUAGAUUUAUUUAAUAAAAAUUACUUUAACUAGUUUAGAUUAGAUAACUUCUUUGCUUGACAGAUUUUCAAAUUUUAAAGGAUGGGAAGAAAUAUUUGAAUACAUAUAUGUAUGAUUCUGAUGGUGAAUUAAAUGAUAACUACAUGUACCUUAACUAUUUACAUGAAUAAUUAAAUGAUUUUGAUGAAUAGGCCUAUACAUAUAUUUAUAGGAUGAAAUUAUUAAUAGCCAAGCAUGUAGUUUUAUUUUGAUUCAGAAAUUUAAUUGUGAGAGAUUAACACACACAUAAAUAUAACUACAAGAACUUACAGAUACGGUCAAAAUGUACUGUAUGCUUAAUAUACUAAUUCAGCUAAAUAUGCAGAAAAUAGUAGAUAUACAGGAUUGCAUAUGCCAUGUAAAAAAGUGAUAUAAAAUUUUUUUUUUCAUCUUUAUUUCAGUAGGUCCAUGUAUAGAAACAGAGAGAUCCAAAGACGCAUUGUUUCCCUGCGAAGACAGUUCACUUAUUGUAGAGUUUCCAGAUACUGAAAUCCAUUUUAUUGAUGGUAAGAUUUUAGUCAAAUUUUAUGAUUUUUUUGUGCAAUAAUGCAUUAUGUACCAUGAUGGACAUAUUGGAUUUGGUUAUCAUUAUAUACAUGUAUACCCCCCACAAAGGAAGUUUGUUCAAUUAUAUAUGAAUCAGCCUGUCCAUAUGUCUGUCGGUCGGUCCAUAUAGGGAAAACAAAUGAUAUUUAUUUUAGGCCCUAUGUGGAAUGUGAUUACUUGAGGCAUUCUGUUUCAGGUCUUGUUAAAUUUUUGAUGAAGGUACAGUUAUGAGCCAUCUUAUAAGGAUUUUGACCCCAAUUUCAUGGUUUUUGUUGAGCCUGUUACUUUUUUUGCAGAAAGCUCGACAUAGGGAUAGUGAUCCUACGGCGACGGUUCAGUGACCACUUGAAAAAAAAGUUAAAAACAAUUUUGUAAUGUUGAAUUCUCUCUGAUUAUAGUAAUAGGAUAACUAUAUUUGGUAUGUGCGUACCUAGCAAGGUCCUCGUGGCAGUCAGACAGUUUUCACUUGACGUCAACCUGAUUUCAUGGAUCAGCGAACAAGGUUAAGUUGGGGUGGUCAAGUCUAUAUCUCAGAUAUUGUAAGCAAUAGGGCAAAUUGGAAAGUCUGUAAUGUGUACAUGUCCAACUGACAGGUGUCAUAUGACCUUGACCUCAGUUUCAUGGUUCAGUGGUUAAAGUAAAGUUUGUGAGUUUUGGUCUUUUUAUCUAAUACUUUAUGCCAUAGGUGAACUAUAUUUGGUGUAUGGAAAUAUUUUAUGAUCUAUAUGUCAGUUGCGCAGGUUUUAUUUGACCUUGCUCUCAUGUUCACGAUUCAUUGCUCAGUGUUAAGUUUUUGUGUUUUGGUCUAUUUUUCAUAAACUAUAAGUAAUUGGUCAACUAUAUUUGUUGUUUGGAGGCAUUGUUAGCUGUAAAUGUCUCGCCAGGCAUGUUUUAUCUGACCUUGACCUAAUUUUCAGGGUUCAUUGGCCUUUGUUUAGUUAUCUCUUUGGUUAUCUUGGUUAAUGUUAAGUUUAUGUGACAGUUGUAAUGAAGCUUUAUACUUAGGACUGUCAACAUGAUAUCAAUGGUUAGUAAAGAAGGCGAGACAUUUCAGCAUGAUCACUCUUGUUUUAAAUAUGAAAAUAACACUUUUCUUUUUCAUUCUUAUUCAAAAUUUAUUCAUAGGAAAUGGUUUUCAUAUAAAAAGAAAAAGGAAUAUGUGGUACGAGUGUCAAUGAAACAACUAUCCCUCCAAGUCGCAAUGUAUUGAAAGUUAGCAAUUAUCGGUCAAAAUUAGAGUUUCAACAUGGAGCCUUGACUAACAAAUAACAGCCUGUUAUAAAGGUCCCCAAAAUAACCAGUGGUUUUAAGUUCAAACUAGUGUUGUCAACGGUUAACCGGUUAAUCGGUCGAACGACCGAAUACCGAAUACCAAAAACGCUAACCGGUUAACCGGACUUUUUUUCAAUUUUUAUAGAUUUUAUAUAAAAAGGUUAGGUUUUACUUUAAAAGUGUCGUCGUGGUAAUUAAUUUGACUGUAAAUUGAUUGCUAUUGUUAUCCCAUCAACAUAAAAUUAAUUAAAAUUUGUCUCUCAGCUUGGGGCAGGAUCUUAAAGAAACAUAAUUAGUAAACUUGUUUUUUUAGCAGUAACUCUAAAUCAGUAAUGCGAUUAAAUUUUACGAUUUACUUCAUUAUUUCGUAUCUGAUCUAAUAUUGUGUAAACCUACAUCUAAAUGUGCAAAUUCCGUCGUGCAAGGCUUAGUCUUACUUCAAACGAAAUGCUAACUCAAAAAUUGUGAAAUGCAAACCAAUGUGAAUUUGCUCAAUGCAUACGUGAUAGUAAGAGUAACAUGCAAACAAAGUAAAGAAACAGGCCGUACGGUGACCUAUAGUUUGUUGAUUUCUGUGUAAUUUUGAUAUCUUGUGGAGAAUUGUCUCAUUGGCAAUCAUACCACAUCUUCUUUUUUAUAAUUAAUCACUCAAAAUGAAACAAUCCACACCAUUUUCGGAGACAACAAGUGAAAAAGAAAGAAUAAUCAUUUUAAAACAUAUUCAAUUCCACGACAUCAAGUAGUUUUUUUAUUUUAUUUUUCAAUCUGAAGUUGGUACAAACGCUAUAGUUGAUACGGUGUAGUUGCUUAUUAAAAGUCAAACUUCGCAAGAAUCCUCACAGACAAGCCUGAUAAUGCCAGAGGAAAAACUUCAAUUCUAAAAGCAUAAAUUUAUGACUUGGAUAACAGGUUGUCAAAUUGACAAUCAUACCACAUCUUAUAUCAAUGUGUAGGGUACUAUUGAUAAGGCUUGCAAGCACCAACUCAAACUACCGGUUAACCGGUUAAUCGGUCGAACGAUUAUCCGAGUAACCGGUUAGGCAAAAGUGUACAAUUUGACAACACAUGUUCUUGUUUUAAUUUUUUUUCUUUUUUUUUUUUUAGACAAAGACGAACAGUUCUGGGAAAUUCCUAAUUUUCAUGAUGAUACAGUUACAAGACAAGACAACAUGACCGAAAUGGUUGACAGUGAUGGUAUACUUGGGAAUGAGUUUUAUGUUGUUUUGGACCAUAUACACCGUUACCAAGCAGACAUCAAUUUAGAUGAAUUUGUACUUCAGAAAUCAAAAGAAAGGUUCUACAUGCUUAAAAAUGACUGUCAGCAAAAUUUGAAUGUGUACAGAACUUUUGAAAUGGUAAAAAUGUCACAGUAUUUAUAAGGUAUAUUGAGUUGUAUGAUACAGAUAAACUAACAGUGAAGACGUGCAUCACAAUUGAUGACAAUUUUCAAGCUAACAUAGUUGUUCAUGGAGUACAGUUACCAAAAAGUCAUGUUAUAUGGAACACACCUGGCCUACCAAUCAAGUAUUUAAAAAAACAUCAUGUUCAGAAGCUGCUCACAGCUGCAUCAUGCUACCAAGUUUGCAUUGGAAACCCAGAAUCAGAAUUCCAGAACAAUUUGCCCAUUGGUUACUAUGGUAAUAAACCUUCUUCAACUUCUGCAGGCUUUAGAGAAGAUGAUUUAGGUGCAUAUCACAAAGACUUCCACUACAACAGUACAAUAAGGUCAAGUUACUGCACUCUGUUGUCAGACAUACAAAGAUGUAAGAGAUGCCAAGCCUACCGUAAGAAUCUUCACAAAAAAAAGAAUCGUCUGAAGACAAAAGUUCCAACACCAGAAAAGAAUUGGUUGUCAUCACAUAAGGGAAAUAAAGUUAUGACAGAGAGUGAAAAGCUGACCAAAUUGAAACAACUAACAGCUCUAUCAACAGACUUGAAGACAAGGGUUAAAAACUUAGAGAAGAAAUUACAGCAUGCUAUACAAGUAAAUGGACUAAGUCUGUUGGAUUCAGAUAGUAAGGACUUCUCAACACUGAUGAAAAACCAAAGUGAAGAAAUAAAAAGGCAAUAUCCAGAUGACAGUAGCUACCAGCGUCUAUUCUGGGAGCAGCAAAUGAAAUUCAACCGAUUGAAAGACAAAAAAGGUAUGAGAUGGCACCCAAUGAUGAUAAAAUGGUGUCUUUAUCUGAAGAGCAAGUCAGCCUCAACCUAUGAUGCUUUACGACACUCGGGGUUUAUUAAUUUGCCAAGUGAGAGACUACUUUAUGAUUACAGUCACGUUAUAAAGCCAGGCGUUGGUUACAAUCCAAAUGUUAUGGAGGCGUUAGCAACCGAGAUCAAACAGAAGAACCUGACUGAGGAGUGGCAGCAGUAUGUUGGCAUCCUGCAUGACGAAAUUCGUAUCAAAGAAGACCUUGUUUAUGAUAAGCAUUCUGGAGAGCUGAUAGGUUUCGUGAACUUGGACCAGACCGGUAAUUCGAUACAAAAUAUUGAACAGUCACUAAAAGAAGAAGCACCUAAAAUGGCCAAAAAUGUUCUGGUGAUAAUGGUCCGUGGUAUUGCGAAUAACCUGAAAUUUCCCUUGGCCCAUUUCGCUACAACAGGGAUAACAGCAGACCAACUAUUUACCAUUUUGUGGGAAGCAGUUGAAAUUUUGGAACUUGAUGCAGGACUGAAAGUCUUAUUUAUAACAUCAGAUGGAGCAUCACCAAACAGAAGAUUUAUCCGUCUCCAUGCCAAUAACCAAAACGGCAUUGUUUACAGAUCUCUAAACCGAUAUGCAGAUGACGGAAGACACAUCUAUUUCAUUAGUGAUGCUCCACACUUACUAAAGACAGCCAGGAACUGCAUGAGCAACUCAUUUUCUCACAAGAAAUCCAGAAAUUUGUGGAAAAAUAAUAAAAACAUUUCUUGGAUGCACAUUGUUAACCUUUUCAAGGACCAUUGCUCCGGGGGAUUACGGUUGUGUCCAAAGUUGACAAAAAACCAUAUUGACAUUUCAUCUUUUGGGUGCAUGAAAGUGUCCCUAGCAGCACAAGUUUUGAGUUCAACAGUUGCUAAUGCUUUGGAAUUGGUGUACGGUCCAGAUACAAGUGAAACAGUCUGCUUUAUCAGACACAUGAACAAAUUCUUUGAUUGUUUGAACACCAGGAGUUUGUAUGAAGCCAGAAACACAAGGAACAAUAAUGUAGCACCAUACACUUCAGAAGAUGACGAAAGAUUACAGUACCUGUUAAACGAUUUCUUACAAUACUUUAGUGAGUGGAAAGCAAAUGUUAACAACCGAGCCGGCCAAUACUCCAAAUCAGAACUUUCAAAGAUGCAGCUUAGUUACCAAACAUUGCAGGGUCUAGAAAUAACUGUCAAAUCUGUUGUGGAAUGUGUAAAGUUUAUGUUAAACAAAGGAGCCCCUUAUGUUCUGACUGACCACUUCAAUCAAGAUCCUAUCGAACAAUAUUUUGGUAUUGUCAGGACAAGUGGUGGAUGUAACACUAAUCCAACUUUAGAACAGUUCAACCACUCGAUGGUUAAUAUAAGAGUUGCUGGCUCGCAAGCCCUUGCACCAUUUCGAGGCAACACAAGGCGUAAUAUUCAGCGUGAUUUUGCAUUAGAAAGUGAACCUUUGGCUAAGAAAAAAAGAUGAUUGACCACAAUAACUACUGUUCUUGUAUUAUCAAUAACUACAAUGUAUUCAUACUUGUACCACAGUUUUAUUUUAAGAUCAUUCAUAUAUAUAUAUGUACAUUGUAUAUUGUGAAUUUUUUCUUACCAUAUCAACACAUAUUAACAUUUGCAAAAU